Molecule: non-coding RNA, 137 nt
Organism: Lactococcus garvieae Lg2
Lineage: Bacteria; Bacillati; Bacillota; Bacilli; Lactobacillales; Streptococcaceae
Source: Rfam
AAAACCUUUAACUUAGUCCAGAGAGGCUAGCAAGGAUACGAUAAAUUAUAUCUCCCUUUAUUUCGCGGACUUUUGCAUGCGUAAAGGAAGAUAGACGCUUUUUGUACACCUGCAGCCCUCUGCAGGUGUUUUUUAUU